UUCCAUGUUUGAUAGUUUUGUCGUAUAAUUGGCUAAAUAUGGUGGCCAGAGUUUCUACCGCAAUACCGUAAAUAUUGCGACUACGAUGAGCAACUUUUCUUUU
RNAcentral lists this non-coding RNA (103 nucleotides) under Acholeplasma laidlawii. Its description in RNAcentral is "Guanine sequence". It matches the Rfam family "Purine riboswitch aptamer". Rfam says of the family: Riboswitches are metabolite binding domains within certain messenger RNAs that serve as precision sensors for their corresponding targets. Allosteric rearrangement of mRNA structure is mediated by ligand binding, and this results in modulation of gene expression. The record is from RNAcentral. Lineage: Bacteria; Bacillati; Mycoplasmatota; Mollicutes; Acholeplasmatales; Acholeplasmataceae. RNAcentral also lists the same sequence under 1 other name.